CCUACGGGAGGCAGUGGGGAAUUUUUUACAAUGGGGGAAAGCCUGAUGCAGCGAAGCCGCGUGGGGGAAGAAGACCCUAUUGUUGGUAAAAAGCUUUCAUCAGGGAAGAAGAAGCAAAGUGACGGUACCUUCAGAAGAAGCCCCGGCUAAUUACGUGCCAGCAGCCGCGGUAAUACGUAGGGGGCGAGGGUUACCCGGAAUCACUGGGGGUAAAGGGAGCGUAGGUGGCCUAACAUGUCAACUGUGAAAACCCGGAGCUCAACUCCGGACUUGCAGUUGAAACUGGUAGGCUUGAGGACGGUAGAGGAAAACGGAAAUUCCAGUGUAGGGGUAAAAUCCUUAGAUAUUGGCAGGAACCCCGGUGAGGAAGGGGGUUUUCUGGGCCGGUUCUGACACUGAUGCUCGAAAGCCAGGGGGGCGAACGGGAUUAGAUACCCCGGUAGUCCUGGCCCUAAACGAUGUUCACUAGGUGUGGGGAGCGGAAAGCUCUCCGUGCUACUA
RNAcentral lists this ribosomal RNA (501 nucleotides) under uncultured bacterium. RNAcentral describes it as "bacterial SSU rRNA". It matches the Rfam family "Bacterial small subunit ribosomal RNA", at positions 338 to 851 of the family's 1533-position model. The record is from RNAcentral.